This 442-nucleotide ribosomal RNA is filed under the name uncultured bacterium. Its description in RNAcentral is "partial 16S ribosomal RNA". It matches the Rfam family "Bacterial small subunit ribosomal RNA", at positions 338 to 795 of the family's 1533-position model. The record is from RNAcentral.
CCUACGGGUGGCAGCAGUGGGGAAUAUUGCGCAAUGGGGGCAACCCUGACGCAGCAACGCCGCGUGAUUGAAGAAGGCCUUCGGGUUGUAAAGAUCUUUAAUUGGGGACGAAAACAAUGACGAUACCCAAAGAAUAAGCUCCGGCUAACUACGUGCCAGCAGCCGCGGUAAUACGGAGGAUGCGAGCGUUAUCCGGAUUUAUUGGGUUUAAAGGGUGCGCAGGCGGAGGUGCAAGUCAGCGGUCAAAUUGCGGGGCUCAACCCCGUACUGCCGUUGAAACUGCAUCCCUUGAGUGCGCGAGAAGUAUGCGGAAGGCGUGGUGUAGCGGUGAAAUGCAUAGAUAGCACGCAGAACUCCGAUUGCGAAGGCAGCAUACCGGCGCGCAACUGACGCUCAUGCACGAAAGCGUGGGUAUCGAACAGGAUUAGAUACCCGAGUAGUC